This 3438-nucleotide ribosomal RNA is filed under the name Triticum aestivum (bread wheat). RNAcentral describes it as "partial small subunit ribosomal RNA". Lineage: Eukaryota; Viridiplantae; Streptophyta; Magnoliopsida; Poales; Poaceae. The record is from RNAcentral.
CCCCCCUGCUCCAGCUCGAAGACCCACACUCCAUCGGCACACAAGUAAAAGGGGUGGCAGGCGUUGGUGCUCACACUCGCCUCCCAACUUCCGGCCAACGGCACCACACGGCUACCACUCGUAACGCGUGGCCCCGCGUGCGACCGUCGGGUGUGCCACCGCGGCGUGCAGGUCUGCGCCGGUCCCACACCGGUCAUCCAGCGGAGCCGGGCGUGGCCGCGGCCACCGGCCUCGCGGCUCCACCUCUGCCGUCGGCGCGGCGCGCGUGCUGCUCGGGCUCUCGUUCGCAUUGCGACGGGCCGCGCGCGCGCGCGAUCUUCCGGAUCGCUCGGGCGGGUCAAGCACCGGAGAGACGGCGCCAGAACGCCGUUCGCGCGGUCUGGAGCGAGCGAGCAAGCACCGCAGGCGUCCAUUUGCCUUUUCCGGCAUGUCCGGCCUAGGAGAGGAGGAUGUUGCCCGACUUAGUGUUACCGUGACGAGAGAGCAUGAUCCUUCAAGACCCGGCUAACACUACCGAGCCUCGACCGGGUCUCGGGGGAAGGUCCGCUGGAGCUAUCUUUUUAGGGGUACGGAGCAGGAGAGGGCACGUUGGCGUUGUCUGUUCCGUGCGGCGCAUUCGAAAGGGGCGACGUUUUCGAGUGGCACGGCGUAUUUGUUGACUGGAGCGUCCGCUUUUUCUUUCGCGCACGCAUGCGGGAGGAGUGGGCCCCGCAGCUGUCGCUCCGGCGGCUGGAGGGGCCCCCCUUUAUAGGGCCAGCUGGUGCCGGUGACAUCUGCGUAGCGUAGUGCUCCCGAGCGGUGCGCCGGUCGGUUGAACCGCGCGAAAGGCGCGCCUCCGCCGCCAGUUACCGGCGGGCCAGGGCGGGCCGACCGCGUUUCGCUGCGGCCGUUGGACGUUAUUCUAUUCGCCGAUGAACAAGCUGGGAAGGUCUUGGUAGCGGGGGGAGGCCCGGAAGGUCUUGCGAGGGGGCGGUGCAGUGUCCUAUUCGGGGAGCCUACCAAGGUUAGGAAGGUCUUGGCAGAGCUAGAAAGCCUUAACCUUCGGGCCCACCCCAACCAUGCCCGACAUAUUUACCCGCCACUGGCACGCGGAGAAGACUGCUCGAGCGAGUUCGCGGAGUUCAUGCUUCGGAUCUCCCUAUCAUGACAUGAAAGGAGAGGGAAGAAGAGGCAGACGCCAGACCAGACCAGACGAGACGAAGAAGAGAGAGGCAGGAACAACGAAGAGAGAAGAACAUGAGAGGCUAAAAUGUAAACCGGAGGAGGUUGGGAGGAGAACGUCGACGAAGACCCGCAGUUACCCCUCGAGACGGUAAAAUCCUCUUCGCCUCUAGGGGACUUAACCAGUUAGUCGUAACAAUCAAGUCUGCUAACGAGUUUGAAACUGAUGAUGUCUAAGAAAAGGGGAAAUAAAACGUUGCUGGAAACCCAUCGGGCAUUAACUAACGAUCAGAACACCAAGACUUAAAACAAAAACCAUAAGACUAAGUCUUUGAAAGCCCAAACGAAGAAACCUCAGACCCCCCGCUGUAAAAAAAAGAUCGUUUCUAGCGGAAGCCAAUUAAAACCGGCCAAGAACUAAGAAAGACCUGGAGCAAAAGGAACCAGGCUAGCUAAUGGCCACGAGUCAUUAGGGGAGACAGGUUAAAAAGAGAUCUCAAACAAACCAGCAAACUAGUACCUAGGGAAAGUGCCGUAACACUUUCUCCUCCUUAAGCUGAAGCGGCCUCGACGUCGCCUACCGAUGAGCGGCAGAAGGACCCCGAGUAGGGGCAGAAGGACCCCGAGAAGGGUUAGAAGGACCCGGCCGCCGCCGCGGAACCGUCUCGACGGCGCCGGCUACCUGCCGGAGCCGCUCCGCCCGGGGUGCGGGAAGGACUUGUUCUGCAUGCUCCACCACCUGCUGGUGUCGUGCCUGUGGUAGCACAGCACCCCGCAGCGGCCCUUGUCGAAGCACCACACCCUGCGGGUGCGGAAGAGGUACCACGAGGAGGGGGCGAUGAAGUUCGUGACGUUGAAGAGGUCGAAGCAGGCGGUCGAGUUGUGGAUACCCAAGUCCUUCCAACUAGGCCUGUCCACCCUCAAGCGCCGCCUCCCCAAGGACGCCCCGGUCUUCCUCGACGACUUCUGCUAGUCCGCGGCCGCCGGAGUCAGCAGCGGCAGACCGUGCGGCCGCGACGACGUCGUCGUCGUCGUCCCGGUCGUCCCCCGCACGGACCUCCACCCCGUAAAGCCCGGGCUCCCGCUCCACGUCGCCGACGUCGCGCUGUUCCCGUGGGACUAGCGCCUCCACCACUUCGACGCCGUCCUCGUCGUCCGCUGCGCUCGCGUCUACGUCCUCUACCUCCGCGCGGAGCGGCGGUGCCUCGUCUUCGUCGUCGUCUACUGCCACAAGGACCGCGCGCGGUACUUCUCGGGGUCGAAGGAGGUCUACGACCACGUCGCCGUCCUGGUCUCGGCCGCCUUCCUCGAGCGCCUCCGCGAGGAGAGGUUCUUCGCGCCGGCGGGGUAGCUCAUGGAGGAGGGGGCGUUGCCGCUCUGGUCGUCGCGGCGUUCGAUGUCGCGGCGCCGCGCUCCGAUGCCGGGACCAGAGCGGCUGCCGUCACUGCCGUCCGCGCGCCUGCCGCUCCUGUGCCUCUCGAAGACCUUCCUCGACGACUCGGACCCGGACCUCCUCUCCGUAGCCCUCCGACCGCCCCCGCCGCCCCUCCGCUCGCCGCGGCUCCACCUGCUGCUGCACCUGCUACUCCACCUGCUCGACCACGUCUCGGAGAUGGUGGAGUCGGGCUUGGCCGGGGUGUCGGUGGUCACUUCCUUCUUGUCUUCUGUCUUCCAAGAUCUCGCUCUUUAUAGACGACGGCGAACCUCUUGUUGCAUCCCGGCGUCGGACUGUUCACUGUUGGGGUCGUCACUCGCUUUCUUCUAUUCUUCCAAGAUCUUGUUCUUCAAAGGCGACCUCUUGCAGCUUGCAGCACCCCAUCUGGCAUCCGCAUCACCACCACCACCAUCGCCAUCACGACGGAGGUACGGGGGUACCCGCAACCCCCGACCAGACGAAACAAGUAAAAGAUAACGAUCAACAUCAUGGACUGUACAACAGCCCCGGGGCGCCGGACGUACGCGUUCAACGGGCUUUGUCUUUCCCCGGUCGCGGAAAACGGACCGCACCACCUUAUUACGAGGCUCCGAAAUGGCCUAAUUCAUGAGGUUCAACCUGCAUCUAGCUAGGUAGGUAGGACCAAGCAAGGGCUGGCUGCUCCGGUACCUUCCCCGUUUCCGUUUCGCUCACGAUCAUCUAUGAGGGAGGCAAAAUUUUAUCUACUAAGUUGAAAUAUGAUGAUUGAAAUGUUUCAAUCAUAUUUCAACCCAGUAGAUAAAACCUUACCUCUCUCAUCUAACGUCGUCUUCAAUGUGCUUCGAUCACCUCGAGCGAGCCGC